UGAAACGGCAAACCGCCUGAAAGGACGGGACGCAAAGCCAGGGGGCUACCGCGGGAGACCGCAAUGCCGGCCCAGCUGCCA
This 81-nucleotide non-coding RNA is filed under the name uncultured Lawsonibacter sp. RNAcentral describes it as "Cyclic di-GMP-I riboswitch". It matches the Rfam family "c-di-GMP-I riboswitch aptamer". Rfam says of the family: GEMM was predicted in a large-scale screen for bacterial structured RNA regulatory elements. Genes associated with GEMM are involved in a diverse array of functions, including chemotaxis regulation, signal transduction, secretion and chitin. The record is from RNAcentral. Lineage: Bacteria; Bacillati; Bacillota; Clostridia; Eubacteriales; Oscillospiraceae.